This 1521-nucleotide ribosomal RNA is filed under the name Shigella boydii. RNAcentral describes it as "bacterial SSU rRNA". It matches the Rfam family "Bacterial small subunit ribosomal RNA". The record is from RNAcentral. Lineage: Bacteria; Pseudomonadati; Pseudomonadota; Gammaproteobacteria; Enterobacterales; Enterobacteriaceae.
AGAGUUUGAUCAUGGCUCAGAUUGAACGCUGGCGGCAGGCCUAACACAUGCAAGUCGAACGGUAACAGGAAUCAGCUUGCUGAUUCGCUGACGAGUGGCGGACGGGUGAGUAAUGUCUGGGAAACUGCCUGAUGGAGGGGGAUAACUACUGGAAACGGUAGCUAAUACCGCAUAAUGUCGCAAGACCAAAGAGGGGGACCUUCGGGCCUCUUGCCAUCGGAUGUGCCCAGAUGGGAUUAGCUUGUUGGUGGGGUAACGGCUCACCAAGGCGACGAUCCCUAGCUGGUCUGAGAGGAUGACCAGCCACACUGGAACUGAGACACGGUCCAGACUCCUACGGGAGGCAGCAGUGGGGAAUAUUGCACAAUGGGCGCAAGCCUGAUGCAGCCAUGCCGCGUGUAUGAAGAAGGCCUUCGGGUUGUAAAGUACUUUCAGCGGGGAGGAAGGGAGUAAAGUUAAUACCUUUGCUCAUUGACGUUACCCGCAGAAGAAGCACCGGCUAACUCCGUGCCAGCAGCCGCGGUAAUACGGAGGGUGCAAGCGUUAAUCGGAAUUACUGGGCGUAAAGCGCACGCAGGCGGUUUGUUAAGUCAGAUGUGAAAUCCCCGGGCUCAACCUGGGAACUGCAUCUGAUACUGGCAAGCUUGAGUCUCGUAGAGGGGGUAGAAUUCCAGGUGUAGCGGUGAAAUGCGUAGAGAUCUGGAGGAAUACCGGUGGCGAAGGCGGCCCCCUGGACGAAGACUGACGCUCAGGUGCGAAAGCGUGGGGAGCAAACAGGAUUAGAUACCCUGGUAGUCCACGCCGUAAACGAUGUCGACUUGGAGGUUGUGCCCUUGAGGCGUGGCUUCCGGAGCUAACGCGUUAAGUCGACCGCCUGGGGAGUACGGCCGCAAGGUUAAAACUCAAAUGAAUUGACGGGGGCCCGCACAAGCGGUGGAGCAUGUGGUUUAAUUCGAUGCAACGCGAAGAACCUUACCUGGUCUUGACAUCCACGGAAGUUUUCAGAGAUGAGAAUGUGCCUUCGGGAACCGUGAGACAGGUGCUGCAUGGCUGUCGUCAGCUCGUGUUGUGAAAUGUUGGGUUAAGUCCCGCAACGAGCGCAACCCUUAUCCUUUGUUGCCAGCGGUCCGGCCGGGAACUCAAAGGAGACUGCCAGUGAUAAACUGGAGGAAGGUGGGGACGACGUCAAGUCAUCAUGGCCCUUACGACCAGGGCUACACACGUGCUACAAUGGCGCAUACAAAGAGAAGCGACCUCGCGAGAGCAAGCGGACCUCAUAAAGUGCGUCGUAGUCCGGAUUGGAGUCUGCAACUCGACUCCAUGAAGUCGGAAUCGCUAGUAAUCGUGGAUCAGAAUGCCACGGUGAAUACGUUCCCGGGCCUUGUACACACCGCCCGUCACACCAUGGGAGUGGGUUGCAAAAGAAGUAGGUAGCUUAACCUUCGGGAGGGCGCUUACCACUUUGUGAUUCAUGACUGGGGUGAAGUCGUAACAAGGUAACCGUAGGGGAACCUGCGGUUG